RNAcentral lists this ribosomal RNA (1265 nucleotides) under Marinococcus sp. HL54. RNAcentral's name for it is "bacterial SSU rRNA". It matches the Rfam family "Bacterial small subunit ribosomal RNA", at positions 31 to 1267 of the family's 1533-position model. Lineage: Bacteria; Bacillati; Bacillota; Bacilli; Caryophanales; Bacillaceae. The record is from RNAcentral.
AUCCAAUUGCUGGGUGCCUAUACUGCAGUCGAGCGCGAGAAGCCGGCGGACUCCUUCGGGAGGAAACCGGUGGAACGAGCGGCGGACGGGUGAGUAACACGUGGGCAACCUGCCGGACUGAUGGGAAUAACCCCGGGAAACCGGGGCUAAUGCCCAAUACGCCCUGACCUCGCCUGAGGUCAGCGGCAAAGCAGGGAUCUUCGGAUCCUUGCACAGUCCGAUGGGCCCGCGGCGCAUUAGCUAGUUGGAGAGGUAAGGGCUCCCCAAGGCGACGAUGCGUAGCCGACCUGAGAGGGUGAUCGGCCACACUGGGACUGAGACACGGCCCAGACUCCUACGGGAGGCAGCAGUAGGGAAUCAUCCGCAAUGGGCGAAAGCCUGACGGUGCAACGCCGCGUGAGUGAUGAAGGUUUUCGGAUCGUAAAGCUCUGUUGACAGGGAAGAACCCACGCCAGUCGAACAGGCUGGCGUGCUGACGGUACCUGUCCAGAAAGCCCCGGCUAACUACGUGCCAGCAGCCGCGGUAAUACGUAGGGGGCAAGCGUUGUCCGGAAUUAUUGGGCGUAAAGGGCACGCAGGCGGUUUCGUCAGUCCGAUGUGACAGGCCACGGCUCAACCGUGGAAGGCCAUUGGAAACUGCGAAACUUGAGGACAGAAGAGGAGAGUGGAAUUCCACGUGUAGCGGUGAAAUGCGUAGAUAUGUGGAGGAACACCAGUGGCGAAGGCGACUCUCUGGUCUGUACCUGACGCUGAGGUGCGAAAGCAUGGGGAGCAAACAGGAUUAGAUACCCUGGUAGUCCAUGCCGUAAACGCUGAGUGCUAGGUGUUAGGGGUUUCGAUACCCGUAGUGCCGAAGCUAACGCAUUAAGCACUCCGCCUGGGGAGUACGACCGCAAGGUUGAAACUCAAAGGAAUUGACGGGGCCCGCACAAGCGGUGGAGCAUGUGGUUUUAAUUCGACGCAACGCGAAGAACCUUACCAGAUCUUGACAUUCUUCCGCUACGCUUCGAGAGAGGCGGUUCCUCUUUCGGGGGACGGAAUGACAGGUGGUGGCAUGGUUGUCGUCAGCUCGUGUCGUGGAGAUGUGGGUAAGUCCCGCAACGAGCGCAUCCCCUAAUCUAGUUGCAGCAUUCAGUUGGCACUCUAAGUGGACUGCGGGUGACAACCGGAGGAAGUGGGGAUGACGUCAAAUCAUCAUGCCAGUAGGAUGCUACACCGUGCUACAUGGAAGUGGUACACUGCGGUGAGACGUAACUCUCGUGAAG